AAAAAAAAAAAAAGAGUUACAGCGCGGUCUCGACAGGGUCAGAGGCGAGGAGAGCGGGGGGUAUACGAGUGAGGGCGAGGAAGUGAGGGGUACAGGCGAGGCGGCCAUUUCCGCCUCCGCCUUCUUCGAAGAGAAAAAAAAGAAUGCGAGAAAAAAAAAAGAGAGAGAGAGAAAAAGGUACAGGGGUAUUUUGGUCGAUUUGCUGAAAAUUCGGACCGAAUCUACAAAAUCGAAAAAGGUAGCCCACUUUUGCAAAAGCUCAAAACUAGUGGAUUUUGAAAUACUUUUAAUAGUGUAGAUCAAGUCUAACGGAGCCGAUCGUCGAUUUGGAAGCCGCAUCAUCGAAGUAGCACGGGAGGUCCCGUGCUACCGAUAGUAUAGCAGCUGGACUAUAUAUAUAUAUAUAUAUAGUCCGGCUACUAUACUUUUAUGAGUACAAUCGUCUUCGUACUCAUAAGUCCGUUUCGAUGAUAGAACUUUCGAAUUGAUGAUUCAUACCGUUAAACGUUAUCUAGAGCAUUUAAAACUUCUAGUAAUCAAAUUUUAUAAUUUUUCGACAUCAUUUACCUUACGAUCAAAACGUCACAAAACUGACAAUUUUUAACAGCGGGUAUAGGAUACUUGCUAGUUUAACGGUAUAAAAAAAUUCGAAUAGGUUGAAUUUUUGAUAGAAAAUUCUAUUCACUAUCUAGAUAAAGAUCAAUAACUCUAAUCUUAAAUUGAAGGAUCCGAUCAUCCAUUUUAGGACGUCGUUCGAUUUUGACCGUUCAUUUUAUGCCCGUUUGAUAGACUUUAUUAUGAUUUCGAAAAAUUACGAAAUUUAUUUUCUAAAAGUUUCAAAUACUUAGAUCAUAUUUAACGAAGUGGAUCAUCGAUUCAGAAGUUCCAUCAUCAAAAACAACUUAUGAGUACGAAGAGCUCUAUACUCAUAAGAGUAUAGUAGCCCUAUUCUCUCUCUCUCUCUAUAUAUAUAAUCAAUUCAUGUUCGGAUUCGAAGCAGCAACUCGAAAAUUCCCCAGGAAAGAUUCUGUAGUUCUUACUCUUUUUCUUUAUUUUCCUAAUUUUGCAAUAGACAUCAUACACGAAUCCAAAUCCAUUGAGUUUCCGUUUUUAAUAUUCAUUUUCCUAAUUUUGCAAUAGAUAUCAUACACGAAUCCAAAUCCAUUGAGUUUUCAUUUUUAAUAUUCAUAUUCAAAACUAUGUCUGUUUUGCAUCUUAUAAAUUCACUCCGUUCGAAUUCGAAUUCGAAUAAAACUUUAAGUAUCCGUAUCCAUUGACAUCUUU
This 1284-nucleotide long non-coding RNA is filed under the name Ananas comosus (pineapple). Its description in RNAcentral is "long non-coding RNA (ACOM_LNC002953)". Lineage: Eukaryota; Viridiplantae; Streptophyta; Magnoliopsida; Poales; Bromeliaceae. The record is from RNAcentral.